UACGAAGGGGGCUAGCGUUGCUCGGAAUCACUGGGCGUAAAGCGCACGUAGGCGGAUUGUUAAGUCAGGGGUGAAAUCCUGGAGCUCAACUCCAGAACUGCCUUUGAUACUGGCGAUCUUGAGUCCGGGAGAGGUGAGUGGAACUCCGAGUGUAGAGGUGAAAUUCGUAGAUAUUCGGAAGAACACCAGUGGCGAAGGCGGCUCACUGGCCCGGUACUGACGCUGAGGCGCGAAAGCGUGGGGAGCAAACAGG
Molecule: ribosomal RNA, 253 nt
Filed under: uncultured bacterium
Lineage: Bacteria
Description: partial 16S ribosomal RNA
Rfam family: Bacterial small subunit ribosomal RNA
Source: RNAcentral